RNAcentral lists this ribosomal RNA (311 nucleotides) under uncultured bacterium. RNAcentral's name for it is "bacterial SSU rRNA". It matches the Rfam family "Bacterial small subunit ribosomal RNA", at positions 207 to 507 of the family's 1533-position model. The record is from RNAcentral.
CGGCCUCGCAUUGAGAUGGGGCCCCGCGGCCCAUUAGCUUGUUGGUGAGGUAACGGCUCACCAAGGCUUCGAUGGGUAGCUGGUCUGAGAGGACGAUCAGCCACACUGGGACUGAGACACGGCCCAGACUCCUACGGGAGGCAGCAGUGGGGAAUCUUGCACAAUGCGCGAAAGCGUGAUGCACGCAACGCCGCGUGGGGGAAGACGGCCCUUCCGGGUUGUAAACCCCUUUCAGUUGGGACGAAGCUUACGUCGGUGAAUAGCCGGUUGGAGUGACGGUACCUUCAGAAGAAGCCCCGGCUAACUACGUG